GCCAGUGUGGUGUAAUGGUUUGAGAUACUCUGACUCCAGACUAUGACUCUGGAAAUCAGGGUUCAAAUCCUCACUCAGUCA
Molecule: non-coding RNA, 81 nt
Organism: Phrynosoma platyrhinos (Desert horned lizard)
Lineage: Eukaryota; Metazoa; Chordata; Lepidosauria; Squamata; Phrynosomatidae
Source: the annotation of a GenBank genome assembly